CGAAAUACCACCAUUGUAGAGGAAAGAAAAGCUUCAAGCAUUCUUAAACAUUUUGCCCUUGCAUGUAAGUGUUUUCAAAGCUAGUUUUUUGUAAAUUUUAUAUUUUUGAAAUCAUUGUAACUUGAUCUAGCUAACUCGGGUACUAAAUCACAAAACUAUUAAAGUUUUGAAAUGUUGUCAUUUUAUGUUUUUUAUGUUAAAUGGCUUGGUUGUAAGCUUAAAAAUGAUUAAGGAAUAAAUUGUAAAGUGAAGUUUGUUAGUUUUGAGUUUAGGGACUAAAAUGAAAAUAGUUGGAUUCAACUUGAAAUUUCUGUAAUUAUAUAAUUUAGAGGGCUGUAGAAGGAUGUAAUUGAAAAUGAACCAAGAUUCGGUUUCUUGGACCAAGCAUUUCAAGACUUGAAAUCUUGAUUUUCUUGAUUCUUGAAAUCACUUGAAAUAAAAAAAUUAAACUAAAAUUCAGUUUCUCGAUUUUCUUGAAAACAAGAAGGUGAAUCUUGAUUUCCUUUUCUCUUUGCAUAUGCUUUUGAAGCCUUUGUAACAAAGUCUUGGACAAUCUCAUUUAAUCUUUCCUUGAUUUGCUUUGCUGUUGACAUUAUUAUUGGGGCAUUGAGUUAAAGAAAGUCCAUCACAUCUCUGGCCUGAGACACACCUUAUUAAAAGCUUAAGCUGUAAAUGAAUAUAUGAUCAUAAUAAAUAAAAUAAUAAGUUUCAAGUUAUUUAAAAUAUUUUUAACCCUUUUUUUUCUUAAUCAAAUUUAGAGCGUAACGAAAAGUGAAAAGUAAAGAAUAUUAAUUAAAAAAUUUAAGAAAAUAUUCCCAAAAUUAAGUUUACAGUACUGUUUUGCCCUAGGGGUAAAGUUUUUUUUUUUAUUAUUAUUUACAAAAAGAGGUUCAUUUCAUAGAACAAUAGUCAUAACAGACAGGGCAACAAUGGCAUUUAGCCAAAGAAAAUGGUUCCCAACAAUCAAGAUUUCAAACAUAAGUGGUCAACCCCUCCAAAAGUAGAAAAAGAGGAGGAAUCAUCACCAAUCAGUUAGGCGUUAGCCAAUGUAGAAAAUUAGUGCGUAUAAUCCUUAUUAUUGAGCUGCCUCCUUUUCCAUUGAAGACCUUGCUUACAAGAGAGGGAGAAAAAUAGUAAAGCACAAGAUAGAGCCAAACAUCAACAAUCGAAAAGCCAAGAGACACCGGAAGAACGAAGGUAUAGAGCCACCUCAAACAAACUGAAAUCAACCACCAGCGACACCAAACCUGGAUUUGUAACCAUACAACGAUUGAAGCGAUAGAGAUCUUGGAAUCUGUCGAAACAAAACAACAAAGCAACAUCUUGAGGCUUUUGGUGCCGCCAACCAUCUACCAUCCAUAGUUACAGCAAAAAACUUUCACCAGAAGCAAGGAACAUCACAGACGUCAAAAGACCACACCUAUCUCUUUUUAACACCGCUCAGGAGAGAGAGAUGAGCCAUAAAAACUCAAAAGAGGCCUCCAAAGGGGUUAUUAAACUGAGACGAGGACAUCAAAAUGACAAAAAAAAAAAAAGAAUAAGGUGAGGGAUGACCAACCAUUGACGACAAGUGAUUGGUCGUCUAAAGGCGAACAAAGUUAAAAGGAAGUUUUGAGCAAUGCUUAAGGUGAGAGAGAAGAAUGAGUUUAGUAAGAGAGAAAAGAAUGUUGCUUCUCCCAUUAAUCAAAAUUGAAUUUUAUGUUAAUUAAUUUAGUUUUUAAGUUUUAAAGGGUUAGCAUUUUAUUUAAUAUAUAGGGUUAGUAUUUGAUGCAUUUUACUUUUUUUUAUUCCACAAGUAGUCUUAAAAAAUUAUUAUAUGUCUCUCUUUUUUAAAUAUUUAUUUUUUUAAUAUUUU
RNAcentral lists this long non-coding RNA (1855 nucleotides) under Gossypium barbadense (sea-island cotton). RNAcentral describes it as "long non-coding RNA (GBAR_LNC012717)". Lineage: Eukaryota; Viridiplantae; Streptophyta; Magnoliopsida; Malvales; Malvaceae. The record is from RNAcentral.